RNAcentral lists this long non-coding RNA (212 nucleotides) under Elaeis guineensis (African oil palm). RNAcentral's name for it is "long non-coding RNA (EGUI_LNC035353)". Lineage: Eukaryota; Viridiplantae; Streptophyta; Magnoliopsida; Arecales; Arecaceae. The record is from RNAcentral.
UACGGGGUAACCAUAGUAUUUGUGAUUGGAUUUAAAUGGAUUUGGAUCUUUAGUCUAGUGACAUCACAAAGAUUAAGCAAGGGAUAGAUCCUUAGGUAUUUAUAAAAGGUCAAAAAGACUCAAAUAAUAUCGAUCGGUUAGUUUUUAAGGUGAGGUUCUAGAUUAUUAUAUGUCUGUUGAUAAUAGUCUCACCCAGCCAACUUCAUUAUGGA